RNAcentral lists this ribosomal RNA (432 nucleotides) under uncultured bacterium. RNAcentral's name for it is "partial 16S ribosomal RNA". It matches the Rfam family "Bacterial small subunit ribosomal RNA", at positions 29 to 507 of the family's 1533-position model. The record is from RNAcentral.
AACGAACGCUGGCGGCAGGCUUAACACAUGCAAGUCGAGCGCCUCGCAAGAGGAGCGGCAGACGGGUGAGUAACGCGUGGGAACGUACCCUUAUCUUCGGAAUAGCUCUGGGAAACUGGAAGUAAUACCGAAUGUGCCCUUAGGGGGAAAGAUUUAUCGGAUAAGGAUCGGCCCGCGUUGGAUUAGCUAGUUGGUGGGGUAAAGGCCUACCAAGGCGACGAUCCAUAGCUGGUCUGAGAGGAUGAUCAGCCACAUUGGGACUGAGACACGGCCCAAACUCCACGCGGGGGGAGGGGGGGGGGAAUUUGGAAAAAGGGGGCCAGCCUGAACCCCCCCAUCCCGGGGGAGUAAUGAGGGCUUUGGGGUGGAAAACCCCUUCCACGGAAGAAGAUAAGGAGGUUACCGGGAAAAAAACCCCCGCCAACUUUGGUG